Molecule: ribosomal RNA, 428 nt
Filed under: uncultured bacterium
Lineage: Bacteria
Description: partial 16S ribosomal RNA
Rfam family: Bacterial small subunit ribosomal RNA
Source: RNAcentral
GUGGGGAAUAUUGGGCAAUGGGCGCAAGCCUGACCCAGCAACGCCGCGUGAGGGAAGAAGGCUUUCGGGUUGUAAACCUCUGUCCUUGGUGACGAAACAAAUGACGGUAGCCAAGGAGGAAGCCCCGGCUAACUACGUGCCAGCAGCCGCGGUAAUACGUAGGGGGCGAGCGUUGUCCGGAAUUACUGGGCGUAAAGGGUGCGUAGGCGGCCUUUUAAGUUGGAUGUGAAAUACCCGGGCUUAACUUGGGGGGUGCAUCUAAUACUGGAGGGCUAGAGUGCAGGAGAGGGAAGCGGAAUUCCUAGUGUAGCGGUGAAAUGCGUAGAUAUUAGGAGGAACACCAGUGGCGAAGGCGGCUUUCUGGACUGUAACUGACGCUGAGGCACGAAAGCGUGGGGAGCAAACAGGAUUAGAUACCCGGGUAGUCC